This is a long non-coding RNA of Apodemus sylvaticus (European woodmouse), 1400 nucleotides long. RefSeq lists it as uncharacterized. The record is from RefSeq and is a predicted model, not a curated record. Lineage: Eukaryota; Metazoa; Chordata; Mammalia; Rodentia; Muridae. The transcript is spliced from 3 exons.
ACUGGGCUCCCGGAAGGCCUUACAGGGAUUCCGUCACUCCGGAGAGCCGCAGGGAACCGCUCCUUCCCACCACAAGUGUUUCUGAGCCCGAGCAAGUGCAGAUGCCUCCCUCAGUGUGCUGAAGAACAGAGCGGCCCUUGUGGCUGGGUGGUCAGCCGCGGGAGAGGUGCCGGCGCCGGGGGCAAGCUCAGCCGGACUGCGGACUGCGGUCUGCGAGCCUUGCUGCUGUUCCUUUGUGCAGCCUGUUGUUCCUUUCGGGCUGUGAGGCGUCCUGUCCCUCUUCGUACCCCUGCGGGAGAGGGGCCUAGGUGGAUCCGAGCGCUUGGCAUAGCAUUUUGCAAACUUUGGCGGUUCUUGGAGUCAGCUUGCUUUCAUCUUACUGUUUUGUUUGUACCUCCCAAGGGACAACACUCCGAUUGUCUGGAAAGAGGAAGGUCAGGGACAGAAAAGUAAAACCCAGGAGCAGCCUGUCCUGUCUGCCUGGGCUUCCAAGGAAUGAUUGUCUGUGAGUAAACUUGUCUGUGGAGCCCCUGAGCAAAUUCUCCCAGUGGCAGGUGCUGGGAUUACAGGCACAUGCCACCACGCCUGGCUUAUUUAGUGCCUUUAAGCCACAUCCUGGCUUAUUUAGGAUCUAACCCUGGGCCUCAUGGAUGCUAGAUAAGCACCGCCUCCCCUGCCUCAAAUGGCUUCUCCUAAAAGAAGGCCCAGAGUCAGCAGCAGAUCUUGUAAAAGGAGAGGAAGGCCUCCCCCAACCCCCUGCUGAACCCGAGCUUUGCGAUUUCAAAGUGCUGAGUCACCUAGUCUUCUCAGGGUCAGACACUGUCACCCAGGAAAAGUCCUGCAGAGCACCACAGCGGGAGCACCGAGCUGGUCUGUUGCUAUUUGAAUGACAAGACUGGAGCACCACAGCGGGAGCACCCAGCUGGUCUGUUGCUAUUUGAAUGACAAGACUGGAGAAGAGACAGUGCAUAUUUAUGCGCUAACUUAUUUUUACUCUUAAGCUGGUGUUUAAGAGACUUGUGACCACAGAAACCGGGGCCUUCUGGUUGGUAAUUGUGUUGAACAGUGUUUUCUUCCCGUGGCUGGAGAAGACUCAGUAGUUAAGAAUCAGAUGCUCUUGCAGAACACCAAGGAUCAAUUCCUAGCACACACAUGACAAGUGUAGAUCCAGGUCCAGAGGGCCUGGUGUGAAGUCUUUUGGCACUAGGCAUACAUAUGUGCACAUGCUAACGUGCAUGGGACACACCCUUGUACUGCUCCUAUGAAAUGAAUAUGAAUGUCAGUGCGCUGCCUUAUGGUGUUUACAGGGGAAGAUACUCCAUUAUUAUUAUUUUAAUCGUUUGAUUCUCAACUUAGUUUUAAAAAACUAGUAAGGAAAAAAAAUACAAGAAUAAACUAGA